Molecule: long non-coding RNA, 324 nt
Organism: Sinocyclocheilus rhinocerous
Lineage: Eukaryota; Metazoa; Chordata; Actinopteri; Cypriniformes; Cyprinidae
Exons: 3
Source: RefSeq, a predicted model, not a curated record
CUGUUACUCAUGGAGGCAGUGAUGAACACGCGCUGUUGAGUCAGCCGCAUCAGAUCCUGUACCAAUACUGAGUUCAUCAGGCAUUUCCUGGACUUCCUGGUUUCUUGGCCCAGUCCAGCUGUGAGUCCACCUGCUCCGCUCGGAGAUUCAGCUCGCUUUCCCAUGACGGCUGGAGUCAAUUAACGGCUCAGAAAAACCACAGCGUUGAGGUGAAUUUAGAUGCGACUGUCUGCCGAAUGGAGAAAAAGAGUCCAACGCUGCAGUGACAGAUUCUUGGAGUUUCCUGGUGUGGAGUCCACAAAGAAAAGAUGCAUCAAUAAGUAG